UGUAAGUCGAGCGGACCUUUCGGGGUCAGCGGCGGACGGGUGAGUAACACGUGGGCAAUCUGCCCGAUACUCUGGGAUAACGCUUGGAAACGAGUGCUAAUACCGGAUGGUCUUCUUGGUCGCAUGGCCGAGAAGGAAAAGACGCGUUCGCGUCGGUGUCGGAUGAGCCCGCGGCGCACUAGCUAGUUGGUGAGGUAACGGCCCACCAAGGCGACGAUGCGUAGCCGACCUGAGAGGGUGACCGGCCACACUGGGACUGAGACACGGCCCAGACUCCUACGGGAGGCAGCAGUAGGGAAUCUUCCACAAUGGGCGAAAGCCUGAUGGAGCAACGCCGCGUGAGUGAUGAAGGCCUUCGGGUUGUAAAACUCUGUCAUUCGGGACGAACCGGAGUCUGAGGAAAUGCAGACUCUCUGACGAUACCGGAGGAGGAAGCCCCGGCUAACUACGUGCCAGCAGCCGCGGUAAUACGUAGGGGGCAAGCGUUGUCCGGAUUCACUGGGCGUAAAGCGCGCGCAGGCGGUGAUGUAAGUCUGAGGUGAAAACCCGAAGCUCAACUUCGGGACUGCCUUGGAUACUGCGUCACUUGAGGAUAGGAGAGG
RNAcentral lists this ribosomal RNA (602 nucleotides) under uncultured bacterium. RNAcentral's name for it is "bacterial SSU rRNA". It matches the Rfam family "Bacterial small subunit ribosomal RNA", at positions 56 to 657 of the family's 1533-position model. The record is from RNAcentral.